This 546-nucleotide ribosomal RNA is filed under the name uncultured bacterium. RNAcentral's name for it is "bacterial SSU rRNA". It matches the Rfam family "Bacterial small subunit ribosomal RNA", at positions 356 to 896 of the family's 1533-position model. The record is from RNAcentral.
GGGGAAUAUUGCGCAAUGGGGGCAACCCUGACGCAGCCAUGCCGCGUGAAUGAAGAAGGCCUUCGGGUUGUAAAGUUCUUUCGGUAGCGAGGAAGGCAUUUAGUUUAAUAGACUAAGUGAUUGACGUUAACUACAGAAGAAGCACCGGCUAACUCCGUGCCAGCAGCCGCGGUAAUACGGAGGGUGCGAGCGUUAAUCGGAAUAACUGGGCGUAAAGGGCACGCAGGCGGUGACUUAAGUGAGGUGUGAAAGCCCCGGGCUUAACCUGGGAAUUGCAUUUCAUACUGGGUCGCUAGAGUACUUUAGGGAGGGGUAGAAUUCCACGUGUAGCGGUGAAAUGCGUAGAGAUGUGGAGGAAUACCGAAGGCGAAGGCAGCCCCUUGGGAAUGUACUGACGCUCAUGUGCGAAAGCGUGGGGAGCAAACAGGAUUAGAUACCCUGGUAGUCCACGCUGUAAACGAUGUCGAUUUGGGGGUUGAACUUUAAGUUUGGCGCCCGUAGCUAACGUGAUAAAUCGACCGCCUGGGGAGUACGGCCGCAAGGUUA